UACGUAGGUGGCAAGCGUUGUCCGGAAUUAUUGGGCGUAAAGGAUGCGUAGGUGGUCUUUUAAGUGGGAUGUGGAAUCCCUGGGCUUAACCCAGGAACUGCAUUCCAAACUGGGUAUCUAGAGUGCGGGAGAGGAAAGUGGAAUUCCUAGUGUAGCGGUGAAAUGCGUAGAGAUGCGGAGGAACACCGAUGGCGAAGGCGAUUCUCUGGACCGUAACUGACGCUGAGGCAUGAAAGCGUGGGUAGCAAAC
RNAcentral lists this ribosomal RNA (250 nucleotides) under uncultured bacterium. RNAcentral describes it as "partial 16S ribosomal RNA". It matches the Rfam family "Bacterial small subunit ribosomal RNA", at positions 524 to 773 of the family's 1533-position model. The record is from RNAcentral.